UACGUAGGGUGCAAGCGUUAAUCGGAAUUACUGGGCGUAAAGCGUGCGCAGGCGGUUAUGCAAGACAGAUGUGAAAUCCCCGGGCUUAACCUGGGAACCGCAUUUGUGACUGCAUAGCUGGAGUACGGCAGAGGGGGAUGGAAUUCCGCGUGUAGCAGUGAAAUGCGUAGAUAUGCGGAGGAACACCGAUGGCGAAGGCAGUCCCCUGGGCCUGUACUGACGCUCAUGCACGAAAGCAUGGGGAGCGAACAGG
Molecule: ribosomal RNA, 253 nt
Filed under: uncultured bacterium
Lineage: Bacteria
Description: partial 16S ribosomal RNA
Rfam family: Bacterial small subunit ribosomal RNA
Source: RNAcentral